This is a long non-coding RNA of Alosa sapidissima (American shad), 2210 nucleotides long. RefSeq lists it as uncharacterized. The transcript has 3 exons. The record is from RefSeq and is a predicted model, not a curated record. NCBI's taxonomy places the organism in Eukaryota, Metazoa, Chordata, Actinopteri, Clupeiformes, Clupeidae.
UCAAUGCAUAGUUUUUAGCAUAACAUCUUGACUCCUCGAUAAUUAUAUCCGUUUGGAGCCUACGCAGAAUUAGCCUGAAUUGCAUGGUAACUGCUGCUUUAAAUUUUUAAAAAUUACUCAUAAUUUUCCCAAAGAUUACCAAGAUCUCGAGUGCACAAUGUCAUCAGCGUAAUGAGGAGUAAACAUUUAUGCUAAUAAUCUGCAAUUUUUUCCAUCAGCUAUAAAGAGGGGAAAUAAAGCUGGAAUUUUCAGUCAUAUUCUGAACAGUGCUGUUAUAGCACUUAGCACUGCAAGGGAAACAGUUUAUGGGACUGAGACUCAGAACUAAUGCACCUGGAUUCCUAUUUGAUGUAUUUUUAUCUCACUAAAGAGGGAAUAUAUGAACCACCUCAAAUGUCUUCAAGAUUGUUAUUGGUAUGAAGUGGCCAGACAAACCAGGGAGGAGUACUUAUUUUCAUCGCUGUAGGACCAGUCAGAUAAUGGACCAACACUGGAUUUGGUGUUCCAGCAUGGAUUCAGCAUCUGACACCCGCCCAUCCAAAGAGCACUACCCCAGAAAGACAUUGGUGCCGAGGUUAUGGUAUCACUCACCUGAUCCUCUGAGCAGAGGCGGCGCCGGUGGUGGGGGAACGAGUGAGCGGGCUCUCUCUCUCUCUGUGUGUGUGUGUGUCAGGUGGAAGCCAGGCUGGGCCGCCCGCAGCUGGGUCACCGGUGGUGUGGAGGGAGAGAUGCUCUGACAGCCAGAGACCGAUCCCUCAUUACAGCAGCAGCAGGGGUCAAGGCGAGGAGGCGAGCGUCCCACCUGCCUGAAAUUGGCCAUAAAAAUGACCAAUUACACAAGACUUCUGCACCAAGAGAGAAAGAGAGGGAGAGAGAGAGAGAGAGAAAAGAGAGAGAGAAAAAUGUCUUGAUAUAUGGUGGUUACUUAAUGCAUCAACAAAAAUGAAGAAACCUGCAGCGCACCCUUUGAGUUUUUUUUUUACCCAGGCGAGGCCAAUGGCUUACAUCACUAAAACAAAAAUUCAGAAGCCAAAAAUCAACUGUGAAUUAAAAAAAAAAGUCAACAAAUCAAAAUCCAUGAAAAUCAUUGCUGAACAAAACCACGUGGCAGUAGUAUUCCAAACAGCUGGAUCAGAGACUGGGACCCAUUGAUGUGGGCAAAGGGUGAAAGGAGUGGGAGAAGAGAACAGCGCUGUGUAAUAUGACAUGGCUGGGUAAACUAUUUACGUUGCCUCCUCUGCUCCAUAUUAAGACAAUGCGUGAUUAAAUGCCAGCAAAUGCGUGCAGGGGUUGAAUUAAUGGCCUGGUAAAUGAGAAACAUGCAAAUAUCCCAAUUAAACAAUUUGCUGUGGUGGCCGAGGCUCUGGCGGGUUCAGCUGCAGCCGAGGGCCUUGGGAGCAGUGCUCCUUUUCAGGGUGUUUUUUUUUUUUCUUUUUCUUUUUUUUUUGGUGAAGAGUUAAGUCUCCAACAAAGACAGGAAGGAGGUCAGCACUCAGCCAACACCUGAAUGCGUGCACUCCCUUUUUUGUGUGUUCCCCUUGAUCCCCACAGUCCGUGCCUGUCAUUAGUGUUAAUGAUGGAAAAUUGUCAUGUUGAUACAAGUCUCCCUCUCUCUCUUGCCGCCCCCCCCCCCCCCCCCCCCCCCUCGUAGAAGUAGUAGGUGGAAGCUCCAUUUAUUACAAAGUUCUUUGUGACUAAAAGCCAUGGACAGUGCAUUUGUGCUGGAGAAGAGAAAAGGGUCUAGAUGCUCUUUCCAUAGCUGGGAUAAUUAUUCCCACUGUGACCUUAAUGAUCCGCACUGUUCCCCUGCACCUCAUCCACGCGCCAGGCCCUCUCUACAGCCCCGUGUCAGGAAUAUGAAAAACCCCUAUAAUGAAACCAUUUUGGCUGAUGGAAAAGGGCUACUGAAGCUGCACUUGCUACAAAGACGGCUCAAUUAUAUGAGUAAUUGUGAUAAUUUUCCUUCCAUUCACAGCUCUUUCUGAAAGGAAAAACAGAGAUGCUGGAAGGGAAAUUACACAGACAAUGUGGAGUGUGAAAUGGUUGCACGGAAAAUGACUGAAGAAAGUGUAAGACUAUAAAUAAAUAUGUUAAUGUAAGCCUUAUAAAUACACAAUCAAAAACGUAACAAACAAAGCCCUGGGGAUAAACACACACACAAGCACACAGACAUACACAGACAUAGAUACACACACACACACACACACACA